RNAcentral lists this ribosomal RNA (497 nucleotides) under uncultured bacterium. Its description in RNAcentral is "partial 16S ribosomal RNA". It matches the Rfam family "Bacterial small subunit ribosomal RNA", at positions 28 to 507 of the family's 1533-position model. The record is from RNAcentral.
GAUGAACGCUGGCGGCGUGCCUAAUACAUGCAAGUCGAGCGAACGGACGAGAAGCUUGCUUCUCUGAUGUUAGCGGCGGACGGGUGAGUAACACGUGGAUAACCUACCUAUAAGACUGGGAUAACUUCGGGAAACCGGAGCUAAUACCGGAUGAUAUUUUGAACCGCAUGGUUCAAAAGUGAAAGACGGUCUUGCUGUCACCUAUAGAUGGAUCCGCGCUGCAUUAGCUAGUUGGUAAGGUAACGGCUUACCAAGGCAACGAUGCAUAGCCGACCUGAGAGGGUGAUCGGCCACACUGGAACUGAGACACGGUCCAGACUCCUACGGGAGGCAGCAGUAGGGAAUCUUCCGCAAUGGGCGAAAGCCUGACGGAGCAACGCCGCGUGAGUGAUGAAGGUCUUCGGAUCGUAAAACUCUGUUAUUAGGGAAGAACAUAUGUGUAAGUAACUGUGCACAUCUUGACGGUACCUAAUCAGAAAGCCACGGCUAACUACGUG